AGAGUUUGAUCCUGGCUCAGAGCGAACGCUGGCGGCACGCUUAACACAUGCAAGUCGAACGAAGGCCCGGAGCUUGCUCCGGUUACCUUAGUGGCGGACGGGUGAGUAACGCGUGGGAAUCUACCUUACGAUGGGGAAUAACAGUUGGAAACGACUGCUAAUACCGCAUACGCCCUUCGGGGGAAAGGCUUAGGCCGUCGUUAGAGGAUCCCGCGUUCGAUUAGCUAGUUGGUAGGGUAAUGGCCUACCAAGGCAACGAUCGAUAGCUGGUCUGAGAGGAUGAUCAGCCACACUGGAACUGAGACACGGUCCAGACUCCUACGGGAGGCAGCAGUGGGGAAUAUUGGACAAUGGGGGAAACCCUGAUCCAGCGAUGCCGCGUGAGUGAAGAAGGCCUUAGGGUUGUAAAACUCUUUCACCCGUGAAGAUGAUGACUGUAGCGGGAGAAGAAGCUCCGGCUAACUCCGUGCCAGCAGCCGCGGUAAUACGGAGGGGGCUAGCGUUGCUCGGAAUUACUGGGCGUAAAGCGCGCGUAGGCGGCGAAUCCAGUCAGGCGUGAAAGCCCAGGGCUUAACCCUGGAAUUGCGUUUGAUACUGAUUUGCUAGAAUUCUAGAGAGGGUAGUGGAAUUUCCAG
This 635-nucleotide ribosomal RNA is filed under the name uncultured bacterium. RNAcentral's name for it is "bacterial SSU rRNA". It matches the Rfam family "Bacterial small subunit ribosomal RNA", at positions 8 to 673 of the family's 1533-position model. The record is from RNAcentral.